Molecule: unclassified non-coding RNA, 240 nt
Filed under: soil metagenome
Description: partial contains 5.8S ribosomal RNA, internal transcribed spacer 2, and large subunit ribosomal RNA
Source: RNAcentral
AACAAGGCGUACCUGCGGACCUGCGGAAGGAUCAUUAACAAGAUCGAACCAAAACAAAAUAUGGACGAUCAAAUCCAUAUCCACCUUGUGUGCACUUAUUGACCGUUCGCUUUGGCAGGAGUUGUCUUGGAUCCCGGCCCCGACCCUUCUAAUUUGGAGGGGGAGAGGGAGGGAUCGAAGCGCGAGGGGGGAGGGAAACCCUCCCACACCUCGGCCUGCCAGAGUUUUUCAAGAUCCACA